RNAcentral lists this transfer RNA (361 nucleotides) under uncultured Microcystis sp. Its description in RNAcentral is "partial 16S-23S ribosomal RNA intergenic spacer". The stretch from base 136 to 209 matches the Rfam family "tRNA". Lineage: Bacteria; Bacillati; Cyanobacteriota; Cyanophyceae; Chroococcales; Microcystaceae. The record is from RNAcentral.
AAAGGGAGACCUAAUUCAGGUAGGAGACGAAAAAAAAGUAGUCCCUACCAAGAAUCAAUCCCAAAAGGUCGGAGCGAGGCGAAAUUGGCUUUCAAACUAGGUUCUGGGUUCAAACAAGACCUGAAUCAGGAACAAGGGCUAUUAGCUCAGGUGGUUAGAGCGCACCCCUGAUAAGGGUGAGGUCCCUGGUUCGAGUCCAGGAUGGCCCACCUGCACAGGUGGCAAAAACAAGAGAAGCGAGGAAUCAGCACCUUAUCUUACUUAUAUAGUAAGAGAGAAUGCUGGCUCUGAGUUCAGAGUCCAGAGGAACCUUGAAAACUGCAUAGAGCUAGGUGAAAAAGCCAAAAAAGAAGACCGCAAG